GAUGAACGCUGGCGGCGUGCCUAAUACAUGCAAGUCGAGCGAACAGAUGAGGGGCUUGGUGCUCUGACGUUGGCGGCGGACGGGUGGGUAACACGUGGAUAACCUACCUAUAAGACUGGUAUAACUUCGGGAAACCGGAGCUAAUACCGGAUAACAUAUUGAACCGCAUGGUUCAAGAGUGAAAGACGGUUUUGCGGUCACUUAUAGAUGGAUCCGCGCCGCAUUAGCUAGUUGGGAAGGUAACGGCUUACCAAGGCAACGAUGCGUAGACGACCUGAGAGGGUGAUCGGCCACACUGGAACUGCGUCGCGGUCCAGACUCCUACGGGAGCCAGCAGUAGGGACUCUUCCGCCAUGUGCGAAAGCCUGACGGAGCAACGCCGCCUGAGUGAUGAAGGUCUUCGGAUCGUAAAACUCUGUUAUUAGGGCAGAACAAAUGUGUAAGUAACCAUGCACGUCUCGACGUCCCCUAAUCAGAAAGCCACGGCUAACUACGUG
RNAcentral lists this ribosomal RNA (497 nucleotides) under uncultured bacterium. Its description in RNAcentral is "partial 16S ribosomal RNA". It matches the Rfam family "Bacterial small subunit ribosomal RNA", at positions 28 to 507 of the family's 1533-position model. The record is from RNAcentral.